CUCAGACAUCAUGGAAACUCAAAACUGAUCAGGGAUUCAUUAUCUAGUUCGUCGAAUGCCUUACACGGAAUCUACAAAUUGAUCCCCCCAUCUAGCCCUCAACUCAUCAUCAUAGGUCAACGUUUUGAUUAUAUGCUCACACAUCAACCUUUGUUCAGAAGUCAGGCGACGCCCAUCACGAUGUUUCAUUUUGCGACCGUGUAUUUGAGUCGUCUCCUCACUUUGCUCGCCUGAUCUGAUGCCCAAUGCCGUAACUGAAUGUAACUCGGCUACAAGUUCCUUGAUCACUCGCCUGGCCAUCGCUCUGCCCCAUAUGAUGUCGGCUAGCAAGGUACAUUGCGUAAAAAUACCAGCAAGUACGCGACUGUCGCGGGUGUAAUGGAUGAGCUCAUCAGUGGAAUUUUUAAGCCACACGGCUAGCCCACUUAAUAGUGGCUCGUUUCCCUUGAUAUUGACCAUCAGAAGGAACGGAACAAAGUUCGCAUAUGCUUCCGAUCUUUGGCAAGCAGAGCCUACUGGGGAAACUGGAGGUAUAUCGAGUUGUGAGAAAAUAAUCUUGAGGACAACUGUCAUCCAGUUUGAAGCGUCUGCAGAAGCCCAUAGGGAAUCAAGCAAAGGAUUCGCCCAAAAUGCUGUUGCAAAUGGAAGAGUGUUAAUGCUUUGGAGACUUGACUCAACUGACGGCUGAUUUGGCGGUGCAUCUGAGUACCUUAUUAGCAUAUACGUAAUGUUCUUGGUUUUACAUUACUAACAGUGAGAAGUAGCGAUCCCUAGAGACUCUAGCUUAGCUUUGAAUGCAAG
This 801-nucleotide small RNA is filed under the name Cryptococcus neoformans H99. RNAcentral describes it as "Cryptococcus neoformans var. grubii H99 hypothetical RNA". Lineage: Eukaryota; Fungi; Basidiomycota; Tremellomycetes; Tremellales; Cryptococcaceae. The record is from RNAcentral.